Molecule: small RNA, 107 nt
Filed under: Marmota monax (woodchuck)
Lineage: Eukaryota; Metazoa; Chordata; Mammalia; Rodentia; Sciuridae
Source: RNAcentral
GCUGGGCACGGUGGUACAUGCCUGUAAUCCCUGCAACUCAGGAGGCUGAGGCAGGAGGAUCGCAAGUUCAAAGCCAGCUUCAGCAACUUAGCAAGAUCCUGUCUCCA